UAGGGAAUCUUCCACAAUGGGCGAAAGCCUGAUGGAGCAACGCCGCGUGCAGGAUGAAUGCCUUCGGGUUGUAAACUGCUUUUAUAUGUGACGAUUAUGACGGUAGCAUAUGAAUAAGGAUCGGCUGACUCCGUGCCAGCAGCCGCGGUCAUACGGAGGAUCCAAGCGUUAUCCGGAAUUACUGGGCGUAAAGAGUUGCGUAGGUGGCAUUGUAAGUUGUUAGUGAAAGCGUUCGGCUCAACCGGAUACACAUUACCAAAACUGCAAAGCUAGAGGAUGAGAGAGGUUAUUGGAAUUCCUAGUGUAGGAGUGAAAUCCGUAGAUAUUAGGAGGAACACCGAUGGCGUAGGCGGAUAACUGGCUCAUUCCUGACACUAAGGCACGAAAGCGUGGGUAGCAAACGGG
RNAcentral lists this ribosomal RNA (405 nucleotides) under uncultured bacterium. RNAcentral describes it as "bacterial SSU rRNA". It matches the Rfam family "Bacterial small subunit ribosomal RNA", at positions 355 to 776 of the family's 1533-position model. The record is from RNAcentral.